Molecule: transfer RNA, 72 nt
Filed under: Synodus oculeus
Lineage: Eukaryota; Metazoa; Chordata; Actinopteri; Aulopiformes; Synodontidae
Description: tRNA-Val
Rfam family: tRNA
About the family: Transfer RNA (tRNA) molecules are approximately 80 nucleotides in length. Their secondary structure includes four short double-helical elements and three loops (D, anti-codon, and T loops).
Source: RNAcentral
CGAGACGAAGCUAAAUUAGAAAAGCACCUCUCUUACACUGAGGAGUUACCCGUGCAAAUCAGGUCGUCUCGA